AUGGCGGGGCGGCAUGCGGCGGCGGUUUCCGCGUUCCUCUUCCUGCUGCUCGUGGGGCACUGCCACGGCGGCAAGACCGGCAUCUGCUACGGCCGCAACGCCGACGACCUGCCGGGGCCCGACAAGGUGGCGCAGCUCAUCCAGCAGCAGUCCAUCAAGUACGUGCGCAUCUACGACACCAACGCCGACGUCAUCAAGGCCUUCGCCAACACCAGCGUCGAGCUCAUGGUCGGCGUCCCCAACGCCGACCUCCUCGCCUUCUCGCAGUACCAGUCCAACGUCGACACCUGGCUCAAGAACAGCAUCCUCCCCUACUACCCGGCCACCGCCAUCACCCACAUCACCGUCGGCGCCGAGAUCACCGAGAGCCCCAUCAACGUCUCCGCCCUCGUCGUGCCGGCCAUGCGCAAUGUGCACGCCGCGCUCAAGAAGGUCGGCAUGCACAAGAAGAUCACCAUCUCCAGCACGCACUCGCUCGGGGUGCUCUCCCGCUCCUUCCCGCCGUCCGCGGGGGCGUUCAACAGCAGCUACGCGCACUUCCUCAAGCCCAUGCUGGAGUUCCUCGUGGAGAACCAGGCGCCCUUCAUGGUCGAUCUGUACCCCUAUUACGCCUACCAGAACUCGCCCAGCAAUGUCUCGUUGAACUACGCCCUCUUCUCGCCGCAGUCCCAGGGCGUGAUUGAUCCCAACACCGGAUUGGUCUACACAAACAUGUUUGAUGCGCAGGUCGAUUCCAUCUUCUUCGCGCUCAUGGCUUUGAACUUCAAGACACUCAAGAUCAUGAUCACCGAGACGGGAUGGCCGCACAAGGGAGCUCCCAAGGAGACCGGGGCGACUCCGGACAAUGCUCAGACUUACAACACCAAUCUGAUACGCCAUGUUGUCAAUGACAGCGGCACGCCUGCCAAGCCUGGGGAAGAAAUAGAUGUCUACAUCUUCUCCUUGUUCAAUGAGAACAGGAAGCCGGGCAUCGAGUCCGAGAGGAACUGGGGACUGUUCUCUCCAGACCAAAGCUCCAUCUACAGCAUAGAUUGGACUGGCCGAGGAAAUGUGGACAUCAUGACUGGAGGAAACCGUUCAAAUGGUACUUGGUGUGUUGCUUCAACCAAUGUCUCGGAGACGGCUCUGCAGAAUGGCUUGAAUUGGGCAUGCGGUCCAGGCAAUGUCGAUUGCUCUGCUAUUCAGCCAAGCCAACCCUGCUACCAGCCCGACACAUUGGUUUCACAUGCUUCAUAUGCGUUCAACAGCUAUUAUCAGCAAAAUGGAGCCACUGAUGUGGCCUGCGGAUUUGGUGGUGCUGGAAUGAGGACGACGAAAGAUCCAAGUUAUGACACUUGUGUUUACAUGGCAGCCGGCAGCAAGAUUAGCACCAAAAAUUCAACCGCCACUCCAACUCCAAGCGGCUCCAGCCCGUCACUGUUGGCCCAAUGCCGCACCCUUCUGCUCCCUGUGCUUCCCAUUGUGAUUGCCGUGGGCUUUCUGUGA
RNAcentral lists this ribosomal RNA (1485 nucleotides) under Triticum aestivum (bread wheat). Its description in RNAcentral is "partial small subunit ribosomal RNA". The record is from RNAcentral. Lineage: Eukaryota; Viridiplantae; Streptophyta; Magnoliopsida; Poales; Poaceae.